Molecule: long non-coding RNA, 1486 nt
Filed under: Homo sapiens (human)
Lineage: Eukaryota; Metazoa; Chordata; Mammalia; Primates; Hominidae
Description: non-protein coding lnc-CNOT1-2:1
Source: RNAcentral
GGCCCCGCCCCGGCGCCGGAACCACGUGGUGCCUGUUUUGUCGUCCACGCUGCAGACUGGCCGGAGUUACCGCGGGCUGGAAUCGUUCCUCAUGAAAACAUCUUGAGUCCAGGAUCUCCAAUUGCACUCACGCGCUGCGAGUGCAGAAGGAGAGUCCCGUGCCGCUUGGCGCCUGGUUCUGAGCCAGGUACAGCCCUGGCCUUCGGUCUGUCCCCGAGGGCUGAGGCUUCUUGCGGUCUGGGUGCAAGAACAAAAUACGGUUUCUGGAUCGGAAGCCGAGGGUCUGGUGGCCGGCCGGUGGUGAGCGACGCAACUGGGCGGCGAGCGACCUCCUGAUCUCGACCCCUUGUUGCCGAUGGCCAUGGAACCCUUUUACUGGUGGUAUUCGUUCAGAGCAGUUUUCGUGUGUGUUUCAGAGUGGCGUGGCCUAGAGGGCUCCUGGAUCUAGAAUAGAUCCUCUCUGCCCUUAUUUGCCAGUACAUCCUCGUUUUUAAUCUGCUGCAUAGCACGUGGUGGGUUUUAUUAGCUGACAUAGUAGGGACUCAAUAUCUACCUAUUGGGUAAAUAAAUGAAUAAAACAAAUGGUGGUUAAACCUGGGGAAGUAGCAUGCUGUUAAAUGUAAGAAAAUGAGGCUGUGAAUAUAGAGGUUACAGGAAUGGGUUUUGAAGCCAAGCAACGCCGCAGCUCAACACUCAGUUUUUUUUUUUUUUCCUUUUUUUUUUUUUUUUUUUUGGCGCGUUGGGGAGACGGGAGUCUCGCCCAGGCUGGAGUGCAGUGGUGCGAUCUCGGCUCACUGCAACCUCCACCUCCCGGGUUCAAGCAAUUCCCCUGCCUCAGCCUCCCAAGUAGCUGGGACUACAGGCGUACGCUGCCAUGCCCAGCUAAUUUUUUGUGUUUAUUUUUAGUAGAGUCGGGGUUUCACCGCGUUGCCCAGGCUGGUCUCGAACUCCUGAGCUCAGGCAAUCCCCCCGCCUCGGCCUCCCAGAGUGCUAGGAUUACAGGCGUGAGCCACCGCGCGCGGCCUGGUCUGUUACUCAGGCAAAUCCUUUUUCCUGAACCUUAGUCUCCUCACCUGCGAAACUAAGAUAAUACCUACUCUGUAGAAUUAAUGUAAGGAUUGGUAUGUUGACUAAAGAAAAAAUAUUAAGCUUUUAAAUAAUUAAAAUUAGUUUUAUUUAGAAGCCUUAUUGAGGACUAUAGACUGAGGCCUGUAGCCCAGGAGUAAUCUUGUGAGGCUCCUCUAACACGGUAUUUUAGUUUAGGUUAUACAUAGGUGAAGAUUUAGUAUGUGUAAAAUCAUAUCAAAGUUUAGGGAUAAGUAUAUCUGGUUAUAGAUUGCAGAGUAUAAUCAUUAACCCUGUCAGACAUGAUCGUAUGUUUAGGAGAAGGCAAAGAGUAGGUCAUUUAUCUUUGAAGGAAUGUAGUGACUCAGGCAAGAGAUUUGGAGGGCAGGGGUGUUUUGUUUUGUCUUUAAGGCAUUUUUUU